Molecule: ribosomal RNA, 253 nt
Filed under: uncultured bacterium
Lineage: Bacteria
Description: partial 16S ribosomal RNA
Rfam family: Bacterial small subunit ribosomal RNA
Source: RNAcentral
UACGUAGGUGGCAAGCGUUAUCCGGAUUUACUGGGUGUAAAGGGCGUGUAGGCGGGACUGCAAGUCAGAUGUGAAACCCAUGGGCUCAACCCAUGGCCUGCAUUUGAAACUGUAGUUCUUGAGUGAUGGAGAGGCAGGCGGAAUUCCGUGUGUAGCGGUGAAAUGCGUAGAUAUACGGAGGAACACCAGUGGCGAAGGCGGCCUGCUGGACAUUGACUGACGCUGAGGCGCGAAAGCGUGGGGAGCAAACAGG